This 468-nucleotide ribosomal RNA is filed under the name uncultured bacterium. Its description in RNAcentral is "partial 16S ribosomal RNA". It matches the Rfam family "Bacterial small subunit ribosomal RNA", at positions 28 to 507 of the family's 1533-position model. The record is from RNAcentral.
GACGAACGCUGGCGGCGUGCUUAACACAUGCAAGUCGAACGGAAAGGCCCUGCUUUUGUGGGGUGCUCGAGUGGCGAACGGGUGAGUAACACGUGAGUAACCUGCCCUUGACUUUGGGAUAACUUCAGGAAACUGGGGCUAAUACCGGAUAGGAGCUCCUGCUGCCUGGUGGGGGUUGGAAAGUUUCGGCGGUUGGGGAUGGACUCGCGGCUUAUCAGCUUGUUGGUGGGGUAGUGGCUUACCAAGGCUUUGACGGGUAGCCGGCCUGAGAGGGUGACCGGCCACAGUGGGACUGAGAUGCGGCCCAGACUCCUACGGGAGGCAGCAGUGGGGAAUAUUGCACAAUGGGCGGAAGCCUGAUGCAGCAACGCCGCGUGCGGGAUGACGGCCUUCGGGUUGUAAACCGCUUUCGCCUGUGACGAAGCGUGAGUGACGGUAAUGGGUAAAGAAGCACCGGCUAACUACGUG